UACGUAGGGUGCGAGCGUUAAUCGGAAUUACUGGGCGUAAAGCGUGCGCAGGCGGUUUUGUAAGUCAGAUGUGAAAUCCCCGGGCUUAACCUGGGAACUGCGUUUGAAACUACAAGGCUAGAGUGUGGCAGAGGGGGGUGGAAUUCCGACGUGUAGCAGUGAAAUGCGUAGAGAGUGUGGAGGAACACCGAUGGCGAAGGCAGCCCCCUGGGUUAACACUGACGCCUCAGGCACGAAAGCGUGGGGAGCAAACAGG
This 256-nucleotide ribosomal RNA is filed under the name uncultured bacterium. Its description in RNAcentral is "partial 16S ribosomal RNA". It matches the Rfam family "Bacterial small subunit ribosomal RNA", at positions 524 to 776 of the family's 1533-position model. The record is from RNAcentral.